RNAcentral lists this ribosomal RNA (484 nucleotides) under uncultured bacterium. Its description in RNAcentral is "partial 16S ribosomal RNA". It matches the Rfam family "Bacterial small subunit ribosomal RNA", at positions 30 to 507 of the family's 1533-position model. The record is from RNAcentral.
AUUGAACGCUGGCGGCAGGCCUAACACAUGCAAGUCGAGCGGAUGAAGGGAGCUUGCUCCUGGAUUCAGCGGCGGACGGGUGAGUAAUGCCUAGGAAUCUGCCUGGUAGUGGGGGAUAACGUCCGGAAACGGGAGCUAAUACCGCAUACGUCCUGAGGGAGAAAGUGGGGGAUCUUCGGACCUCACGCUAUCAGAUGAGCCUAGGUCGGAUUAGCUAGUUGGUGGGGUAAAGGCCUACAAAGGCGACGAUCCGUAACUGGUCUGAGAGGGUGAUCGGUCACACUAGAAGUGAGACACGGUCCAGACUCCUACGGGAGGCAGCAGUAGGGAAUCUUGCACAAUGGGCGAAAGCCUGAUCCAGCCAUGCCGCGUGUGUGAAGAAGGUCUUCGGAUUGUAAAACUCUGUUAUUAGGGAAGAAGAGCUGUAUAUUAAACCCUUGCUAUUUUGACGGUACCUAAAAAAUAAGCAACGGCUAACUACGUG